UACAGAGGUCUCAAGCGUUGUUCGGAUUUAUUGGGCGUAAAGGGUGCGUAGGCGGCGCCGUAAGUCAGGUGUGAAAUCCCGGGGCUCAACCUCGGAACUGCACUUGAUACUGCGGUGCUCGAGUACUGGAGAGGAGAUUGGAAUUUACGGUGUAGCAGUGAAAUGCGUAGAUAUCGUAAGGAAGACCAGUGGCGAAGGCGGGUCUCUGGACAGUUCCUGACACUGAGGCACGAAGGCCAGGGGAGCAAACGGG
Molecule: ribosomal RNA, 253 nt
Filed under: uncultured bacterium
Lineage: Bacteria
Description: partial 16S ribosomal RNA
Rfam family: Bacterial small subunit ribosomal RNA
Source: RNAcentral